ACGCUCGACACCUCGGGCAGCAGUGGGGAAUAUUGCACAAUGGGGGAAACCCUGAUGCAGCGACGCCGCGUGGAGGAAGAAGGUCUUCGGAUUGUAAACUCCUGUUGUUGGGGAAAAAGAGGAUGGUACCCAACAAGGAAGUGACGGCUAACUACGUGCCAGCAGCCGCGGUAAUCUGAGCGGGCUGGCAAGGC
Molecule: ribosomal RNA, 194 nt
Filed under: uncultured bacterium
Lineage: Bacteria
Description: partial 16S ribosomal RNA
Rfam family: Bacterial small subunit ribosomal RNA
Source: RNAcentral